This 1118-nucleotide unclassified non-coding RNA is filed under the name Hevea brasiliensis (rubber tree). The record is from RNAcentral. Lineage: Eukaryota; Viridiplantae; Streptophyta; Magnoliopsida; Malpighiales; Euphorbiaceae.
CAAAAAAAAAAAAAAAAAAUCAACAGAACUCAAACAGGAUGACCAAAUUUUGCAAGACAGGUAGUUACAAAGAUAUCAUGCUAUUUCCAUAGCUCUUCCAUGUGAUUCUGUCAACUUCCAAACGUCCAGCGUUCCAAUUCCAUCACCAGUGAAAAAGAGACCUCCAGGACCCGUCUGAAUUGUUCUCACUUCGCUUUUCGAAAAAAUCCUGCCCCUCUCAAUGAAUGUUGGCAGUUCGUACAGGUAAACAGUAUUGUCACUGCAAGAGCAAAGCAAAAUUGGUUUUGCUUCUGCAUCAGGCAUCCCACAAAGAGCAAUAGCGCCAUGUUCCUCAUUAUGUGUGUAAAUCACGUCCAAGUUACCCUCUUCAGUAAAAGCCCAUGCUUUUAUUGUCUUGUCUAAUGAACAAGACAGUAGAUAUUGAUCCCAACAAAUAAGAGACGUUACAGCAUCAUUAUGACCACUCAAUGUAUGAACACACUGUAAAGUGUCGAGGUCCCACGCCCUUAUAGUAUUGUCCACAGAACCAGAGUAUAGCCUAUUUCUUCCAAUGGUCAAGCAUAUAACAGCACUGGUGUGACCUUUCAUAGAUGAGGCCAGUUCAAAAGGAUUUGGGUUCUUAGCACUCCCUUUCCAAGCCAAAAUGGCACCAUCCUUUGCCCCCACAAAAAGCAUAUCAACAACAUCAGCUACAGCUAUAGCAUUAACUUGCCCAACUGGCCCAUCGAGAUUAAAUUCAGCAGCUGUCUCAACGUUCCAUGCCUAAAAGAUCACACACAAAAUGGCCAUAAGCUUAUAAUAAUCAGAAACUAACCAAGCUACAUGAAGCACUACAAGUCAGAUGUAAGCUAACCUUAACAAUAUUUGGCAAGCCUACAAAUAUCCAGGGGCCUUCACUGAUUAAAGCCCCAAUUUUGACACCAACAUUUAUCACUCUUGUUGAUUGACCAGUAUUGCAAUCCCAAACAUGUACUGUUCCAUCACUACUACUCGAGAAAAGCUUGUCAGAUCUUGAUGGAAGAGCAAUCCCAGAGACAGCCUGUAUGUGCCCCUUGAGCUUUGCCAAUGUCGAAAACCAAUCCCCAUAAAACCAAGAAUGCAAGAACUGGCACCCAUCU